GAAUUUAGCUUCAGGUCGGGGAUAACAGUUGGAAACGAUUGCUAAUACCGGAUAUGCCGAAAGGUGAAAGGCUUACUGCCUGAAGAUGAGCUCGCGUCUGAUUAGCUAGUUGGUGGUGUAAGAGACUACCAAGGCGACGAUCAGUAGCUGGUCUGAGAGGAUGAUCAGCCACACUGGGACUGAGACACGGCCCAGACUCCUACGGGAGGCAGCAGUGGGGAAUUUUCCGCAAUGGGCGAAAGCCUGACGGAGCAAUACCGCGUGAGGGAGGAAGGCUCUUGGGUCGUAAACCUCUUUUCUCAAGGAAGAAAAAAAUGACGGUACUUGAGGAAUAAGCAUCGGCUAACUCCGUGCCAGCAGCCGCGGUAAUACGGAGGAUGCAAGCGUUAUCCGGAAUGAUUGGGCGUAAAGGGUCCGCAGGUGGCACUGUAAGUCUGCUGUUAAAGAGUCUAGCUCAACUAGAUAAAAGCGGUGGAAACUACAGAGCUAGAGUGCGUUCGGGGCAGAAGGAAUUCCUGGUGUAGCGGUGAAAUGCGUAGAUAUCAGGAAGAACACCGGUGGCGAAAGCGUUCUGCUAGGCCGCAACUGACACUGAAGGACGAAAGCUAGGGGACCG
RNAcentral lists this ribosomal RNA (616 nucleotides) under uncultured bacterium. Its description in RNAcentral is "bacterial SSU rRNA". It matches the Rfam family "Bacterial small subunit ribosomal RNA", at positions 122 to 770 of the family's 1533-position model. The record is from RNAcentral.